GAGGGUAUAGCUCAGUGGUAGAGCACAUGCCUAGCAUGCACGAGGUCCUGGGUUCCACCCCCUGUACCUCUA
Molecule: transfer RNA, 72 nt
Filed under: Camelus bactrianus (Bactrian camel)
Lineage: Eukaryota; Metazoa; Chordata; Mammalia; Artiodactyla; Camelidae
Also listed under: 1 other name
Rfam family: tRNA
About the family: Transfer RNA (tRNA) molecules are approximately 80 nucleotides in length. Their secondary structure includes four short double-helical elements and three loops (D, anti-codon, and T loops).
Source: Rfam by way of RNAcentral